Molecule: ribosomal RNA, 744 nt
Filed under: uncultured Pseudomonas sp.
Lineage: Bacteria; Pseudomonadati; Pseudomonadota; Gammaproteobacteria; Pseudomonadales; Pseudomonadaceae
Description: bacterial SSU rRNA
Rfam family: Bacterial small subunit ribosomal RNA
Source: RNAcentral
AGUCGAGCGGUAGAGAGAAGCUUGCUUCUCUUGAGAGCGGCGGACGGGUGAGUAAUGCCUAGGAAUCUGCCUGGUAGUGGGGGAUAACGUUCGGAAACGGACGCUAAUACCGCAUACGUCCUACGGGAGAAAGCAGGGGACCUUCGGGCCUUGCGCUAUCAGAUGAGCCUAGGUCGGAUUAGCUAGUUGGUGGGGUAAUGGCUCACCAAGGCGAGGAUCCGUAACUGGUCUGAGAGGAUGAUCAGUCACACUGGAACUGAGACACGGUCCAGACUCCUACGGGAGGCAGCAGUGGGGAAUAUUGGACAAUGGGCGAAAGCCUGAUCCAGCCAUGCCGCGUGUGUGAAGAAGGUCUUCGGAUUGUAAAGCACUUUAAGUUGGGAGGAAGGGCAGUAAAUUAAUACUUUGCUGUUUUGACGUUACCGACAGAAUAAGCACCGGCUAACUCUGUGCCAGCAGCCGCGGUAAUACAGAGGGUGCAAGCGUUAAUCGGAAUUACUGGGCGUAAAGCGUGCGUAGGUGGUUGUUUAAGUCAGAUGUGAAAGCCCCGGGCUUAACCUGGGAACUGCAUUUGAAACUGGAUAACUAGAGUAUAGUAGAGGAAAGUAGAAUUUCUGGUGUAGCGGUGAAAUGCGUAGAUAUCAGAAGGAAUACCGAUGGCGAAGGCAGCUUUCUGGACUAAUACUGACACUGAGGUACGAAAGCGUGGGUAGCAAACAGGAUUAGAUACCCUGGUAGAAGGGC